AGCUGAUCACUGGGCGUAAAGUGUGCGCAGGCGGUUUUGUAAGACAGAGGUGAAAUCCCCGGGCUCAACCUGGGAACUGCCUUUGUGACUGCAAGGCUGGAGUGCGGCAGAGGGGGAUGGAAUUCCGCGUGUAGCAGUGAAAUGCGUAGAUAUGCGGAGGAACACCGAUGGCGAAGGCAAUCCCCUGGGCCUGCACUGACGCUCAUGCACGAAAGCGUGGGGAGCAAACA
Molecule: ribosomal RNA, 230 nt
Filed under: uncultured Alicycliphilus sp.
Lineage: Bacteria; Pseudomonadati; Pseudomonadota; Betaproteobacteria; Burkholderiales; Comamonadaceae
Description: partial 16S ribosomal RNA
Rfam family: Bacterial small subunit ribosomal RNA
Source: RNAcentral